CCCGCCGCGCAGGCUCGGCGUUGGCCUCCGCGGCCCGUGCGAGUGCGCCCUUCUCGGGUCCCCUAGGUCGCGGGGCAGCCGGGGCGGAAGGGGCUUGUUCAUUAUUUUGAGAGUUUGUUGUGAACGUCAUAACCUUUCGUCCUUAAAUAUUGCCGAUACUUGACCUACGCAAGAGACAAUGUCAUGUGAUUCAGCCUAAUAUCUCAGUAGCUGUCCCUUUGCUCUUCAUUUGUCUUCCACCAUGAUUGGGAGGCCUCCCCUGCCAUGUGGAACUGAGGAUGCAGCAUUCAAGGUUCUAUCUUGGAAGCAGAGACUGUGCCCUCACCAGAUGCUGAACCUGCUGAGCACCCUGAUCUUCCACUUCACCUUCAUCAGAACUACUGGGGCUGUGGCUGAGAUGUCACAUGGCAGAUAGGAUCACAAAUUUCUGUUGUAUCUGGAUGGAGAUCAGCAGGAGGAUCUAUGGGUGAGAAGAAGCACAGUUACAGAUGGAUUCUAGAGCCUGCUUGCUGACACAGGCUUGCAACUGCGGACUUUAUAAGCUUAGUUUUUAAUCUGCUAUCAGCUAGCAUAAUACCAUAAAUGCAUAAGAAACUAAGUAUUCAGUCUUACGAGAAAUGCUAUCUUGACCUGACCCUUUCUCCAAAUAAAUUGACAAAAUAUCUCAUCGUCUAGGAUGCCAGACAGAAAUACCAGUUGCAAUGUUUUGUUGCAUAAAGUUUAUCCUAAUUUAAAUUAGUGGCAUAUAAAGUCAUCAUCUUGCUUGAACAAACAUCUUAUUAAAUUGAGCAUGUCUUUUAUCCCAUGAAAUGAAAUUAAUUUUGAGAUAGUUAUUUUUCAGUUGGAAAUUUAUUGAGUUGAUAGAAAACAAGUUAUAUAGUCUUCCAAAGAAUAUGUUACAUCCAUUUGCAUUUUGUUUUUCUUCAGCAAUGUUUGGUUUUUAGAAAAUCUUACAAGUUAAAUAUACUAAUGUAGAAAUUGAAAGAAAAUAAUCAGAGAUAGAGCAAUAAAUUUGCAAAUAAAGAUUAUUCUUAAAACAAA
RNAcentral lists this long non-coding RNA (1041 nucleotides) under Homo sapiens (human). RNAcentral's name for it is "long intergenic non-protein coding RNA 882". The record is from RNAcentral. Lineage: Eukaryota; Metazoa; Chordata; Mammalia; Primates; Hominidae.